This 492-nucleotide ribosomal RNA is filed under the name uncultured bacterium. Its description in RNAcentral is "partial 16S ribosomal RNA". It matches the Rfam family "Bacterial small subunit ribosomal RNA", at positions 29 to 507 of the family's 1533-position model. The record is from RNAcentral.
AGUGGACGCUGGCGGUAGGCCUAACACAUGCAAGUCGAACGGCAGCACAGUAAGAGCUGGCUCUUACGGGUGGCGAGUGGCGGACGGGUGAGGAAUACAUCGGAAUCUACUUUUUCGUGGGGGAUAACGUAGGGAAACUUACGCUAAUACCGCAUACGACCUACGGGUGAAAGCAGGGGAUCUUCGGACCUUGCGCGAUUGAAUGAGCCGAUGUCGGAUUAGCUAGUUGGCGGGGUAAAGGCCCACCAAGGCGACGAUCCGUAGCUGGUCUGAGAGGAUGAUCAGCCACACUGGAACUGAGACACGGUCCAGGCUCCUACGGGAGGCAGCAGUGGGGAAUAUUGGACAAUGGGCGCAAGCCUGAUCCAGCCAUACCGCGUGGGUGAAGAAGGCCUUCGGGUUGUAAAGCCAUUUUGUUGGGAAAGAAAAGCAGCAGGUUAAUACCCCGCUGUUCUGACGGUACCCAAAGAAUAAGCACCGGCUAACUUCGUG